This 334-nucleotide long non-coding RNA is filed under the name Gossypium raimondii (Peruvian cotton). RNAcentral describes it as "long non-coding RNA (GRAI_LNC011049)". Lineage: Eukaryota; Viridiplantae; Streptophyta; Magnoliopsida; Malvales; Malvaceae. The record is from RNAcentral.
UCCACUAGCUCGUUGAAACCGGAAAUGAAUUACGGGUUUGAAUAGAAAUGAACAGAAUGAAUAGAAAAAGAGAAAUGAGAAACAUUCAUAAAUGAUUAUGUUUUUCUUUGAAAUGGAGAAAUGAAACCAUUUGGAAAUGAAUGUAGGUUUCCAAAAAUGGAAAUGGAAAUGAUCCAUUUUGCAAUCCUAUAUGGAUUACUUAAAAAAUUAUCGGAAUAAUGAGUUUAUGUUUUUGGAUUAUUUUGAAGCCCAAAAAUGAAAAUAAAUCAUACAACCAUAGUGAACAUGUUGAGUUGUGAAAUAUUAAACAUGUUUUCUCGAAAUUUUACCAGGG